Molecule: long non-coding RNA, 663 nt
Filed under: Phascolarctos cinereus (koala)
Lineage: Eukaryota; Metazoa; Chordata; Mammalia; Diprotodontia; Phascolarctidae
Description: lncRNA (ENSPCIG00000032066.1)
Source: RNAcentral
GUGGGGCAGGUCAGAAUUGCGGGCCAGAAAGCCUGGGCUGGCCAGCAGAGGGUGAGAGGCUCAGCUGGGCCUCCCAGGCCUGCUCAGAUCCCUCCCUGCCUGCCCUCCAAGCCAGUCUGAGCAGCCUGGCCACCCCUCCCUGGCUCCUAGAAAUCCCCAGGGGGCGGGAAGCGUGGCCAACAGGGCCCUGAGCUCAGCCUCACCCCUCCCUGGAAGGCAGCGAUCAUGAGACUUUGGAGAAACCCAAAUUAGCCACUCUCCAGGCGAGAGUUUCCUCAUGAAUGUGGUAUCUGUCACAUCCUGCAGUACAGACAAGCCAGGCCUUUCAGACAGCUGUUGCAGCCUCCUCCAGAGCUGAGCUGGGUCCAGGAGAUGUGGAAAAGCUGGUGCUCUGAGAUCUCUGGACCGAGCCCUUGAAAGUGCUUAAAACCCUGCUGGAGCAUUGUACCGGAUGGGUCUGGUGCUGAACCUGUCUGUGCAUCUGCUGGUGAGAAACAAAUACAAACACAACUUCUGCGCUGUCCACGCAAAGUGGCCCCAGAGACUCCAUUUUCGUCAGAGCUCAGCAGGACUGCUCUGGGGACAUCUUCUCCAGUGGAGUCUCAGCGUUCGCCCGUCCUACCAACCUGGAAAGCCUCCCACUGGGACCCUGGGAGGUUCCCG